This 363-nucleotide transfer-messenger RNA is filed under the name Escherichia coli. RNAcentral's name for it is "Standard tmRNA". It matches the Rfam family "transfer-messenger RNA". Rfam says of the family: Bacterial tmRNA, also known as 10Sa RNA or SsrA, is named for its dual tRNA and mRNA-like properties. RNAcentral also lists the same sequence under 8 other names. The record is from RNAcentral. Lineage: Bacteria; Pseudomonadati; Pseudomonadota; Gammaproteobacteria; Enterobacterales; Enterobacteriaceae.
GGGGCUGAUUCUGGAUUCGACGGGAUUUGCGAAACCCAAGGUGCAUGCCGAGGGGCGGUUGGCCUCGUAAAAAGCCGCAAAAAAUAGUCGCAAACGACGAAAACUACGCUUUAGCAGCUUAAUAACCUGCUUAGAGCCCUCUCUCCCUAGCCUCCGCUCUUAGGACGGGGAUCAAGAGAGGUCAAACCCAAAAGAGAUCGCGUGGAAGCCUUGCCUGGGGUUGAAGCGUUAAAACUUAAUCAGGCUAGUUUGUUAGUGGCGUGUCCGUCCGCAGCUGGCAAGCGAAUGUAAAGACUGACUAAGCAUGUAGUACCGAGGACGUAGGAAUUUCGGACGCGGGUUCAACUCCCGCCAGCUCCACCA